Molecule: ribosomal RNA, 388 nt
Filed under: uncultured bacterium
Lineage: Bacteria
Description: bacterial SSU rRNA
Rfam family: Bacterial small subunit ribosomal RNA
Source: RNAcentral
GACGAACGCUGGCGGCGUGCUUAAUACAUGCAAGUCAACUUGACUUUAGAUAGCAAUAUCGAAAAGUAGGGUGGCGCACGGGUGCGUAACGCGUAGGUAAUCUGCCCUGAGGUCUGACAUAACCCGUCGAAAGGCGGCUAACAUCAGAUGAUAUAUAAUCACGACAUCGUGGAAAAUAUCAAAUCUUCGGAGCCUUGGGAUGAGCCUGCGUCUGAUUAGGUAGUUGGCGGAGUAAUAGCCCACCAAGCCUACGAUCAGUAGCUGGUCUGAGAGGAUGAUCAGCCACACUGGAACUGAGACACGGUCCAGACUCCUACGGGAGGCAGCAGUAAGGAAUAUUGCCUCAAUGGGGGAAACCCGUACGAAGACAGCAACGACCGCGUGAAGG